Molecule: ribosomal RNA, 578 nt
Filed under: uncultured bacterium
Lineage: Bacteria
Description: partial 16S ribosomal RNA
Rfam family: Bacterial small subunit ribosomal RNA
Source: RNAcentral
UGGGGAAUAUUGGACAAUGGGCGCAAGCCUGAUCCAGCCAUGCCGCGUGAGUGAUGAAGGCCUUAGGGUUGUAAAGCUCUUUCGCCGGUGAAGAUAAUGACGGUAACCGGAGAAGAAGCCCCGGCUAACUUCGUGCCAGCAGCCGCGGUAAUACGAAGGGGGCUAGCGUUGCUCGGAAUCACUGGGCGUAAAGCGCACGUAGGCGGAUCGUUAAGUCAGGGGUGAAAUCCUGGAGCUCAACUCCAGAACUGCCCUUGAUACUGGCGAUCUCGAGUUCGAGAGAGGUUGGUGGAACUCCGAGUGUAGAGGUGAAAUUCGCAGUAUAUUCGGAAUCGGAAGCAACCACGUGGUCGGCAGGACGGGCCGCAAACCUGGCUCGAUACUGACGCUGAGGUGCGAAAGCGUGGGGANCAAAACGGAUUUAGAUACCCCUGGUAGUCCACGCCGUAAAACGUGGAUGCUAGCCGUUGGGGGGUUUUACCUCUCAGUGGCGCAGCUAACGCCUUAAGCAUCCCGCCUGGGGAGUACGGUCGCAAGAUUAAAACUCAAAUGAAUUGACGGGGUCAUAGCUGUUUCCU